UACGGGGGGGGCAAGCGUUGUUCGGAAUUACUGGGCGUAAAGGGCGCGUAGGCGGCUUGGCAAGUGGAUGGUGAAAUCCCUCGGCUUAACCGAGGAACUGCCGUCCAAACUGCUUUGCUUGAGACCGGGAGAGGUGAGUGGAAUUCCCAGUGUAGCGGUGAAAUGCGUAGAUAUCGUUUGGAACGCCAAUGGUGAAAACAGGUCGCUGGGGAUGAGCUGACGCUGAGACACGAAAGCCAGGGGAGCAAACGGG
RNAcentral lists this ribosomal RNA (253 nucleotides) under uncultured bacterium. Its description in RNAcentral is "partial 16S ribosomal RNA". It matches the Rfam family "Bacterial small subunit ribosomal RNA", at positions 524 to 776 of the family's 1533-position model. The record is from RNAcentral.